GUAGAAUCAUUACUAUGUCCCUAUUUUGCUAAAUAUUAAUACCUUUUUUAAUGCCAUCAUCACCGCCAUUGUUUUGUCUUUCGUCUUCCUCCCUGGUCUUCAUAAUCGGUCCCUCUCCGUAUACUCUCUUCUUGUUGGCGUCCUCUUCUGCUUCGAGUGUUGACUUUCUAUGUCGUUAUCUUACCUCUGAUCUGAGGCGAAGCUUCAGACCUGCCUGCAUAUUUACAUGAGCAAACGGUCAGCGCCGUUAGGUUGAUGCACCUGAGAUACUGCUGCUGCUGCUGCGUGGUGUCUUGUGUGAGUGUGCCCUCUGCCCUGUGUCCCAGUGCCCGCUGAUUUUGAGGCAGCCAGGCCAGAGGACUCUCAAGAGGCAGGAAGACCUGAGCAGAACAGCCCCACCCCAAACCCCACUCACACCCCCACUGAAACGCUGUGUCCCAAACGACCCCCUCCUCCCGUUUCAAGGGGAGAGGGUUUAGGCACUGUGGCUCCAGCAACUAAGACCGGCUGUGAGUAACUGGGCUGGUGGAUUGCAGUGCUGGUUUGCGGGAUUGCAGUGCAUGCGACAGCUGGGCCUAGCGAGGAGUGUUCAGAGGCCGAGGCUGAGCAGAACUCUCAGACUAAAUCUGAGACUAAACCAGGUACAUCUUGAGAGGACAGUGAAAUAACUACCGUAGCGCUGCAGCUGUACAUCUAGUUCUGUCCGUUUUAGUGACCUCCAUCAUAGACAGUUAUUGUGUGAGUUUAUUCUGCUGUUUGCCAAUUUCCUUCAGAUUUGUGGAAAUUGAGCCAUUUCCCGAGUAGCUGCACUGUGUGAGUCGGAAGUCUGAUGGCUGAACUGGACUGUUCAUAUUCAUUAGACCAGAGUAAUCUGUCCUCACAUUGUGUGUGAGGGGGAGAAGAUAUGGGCUGGCAUUUAGACUCAAUAUCCCUGUCGAGUCUGAGAUGGCUCUCAGCAAAGCCGGGAGCCUUUUGAGGAGCUGGUUAAGGGGAUCUUGAAUGCCAGCCGGCUUUAUAAGACUUACUUCGCCAAAUGUCAAAACUCUGCCCUUUGGAGGGACCCUGCAAACUCUAAAGCAUGGCUCCACACACACACACGCACACACACACACACACACAUGUUCCAAUCUGCACUCAAUUUAAAACAAAAUAAAACAUGUUAUCGUCACCAAUGUCAUCGUGUCAACGCUUAUCACAUGACUGCUCAGCUACAGCAGAUUUGCCAUCGUUGUUUGAUGUGUUCUCUGUGCGUACCAUGUGCCACGCGCUACCUCAAAUAUACACUGAAUGAAUUAUGCAAUGGUCUGUGCAGUGUCUGUGUGUCUAACUGCACUGUCUACUCUGGUUUGUGUCUUGUCUCUUGUUUUGUCUGGUGCAAUGCCAGAGAUAGUCACGCAGGAUGAUGGUGCAGGUUUGUGCACAGCCUGUGUGUGUGUCUUGCGCUGUGCUUCCAGCCUCAACUUUUGUAUGUGCGCAUUUGUGUCUCUUUUCCAAGUGUAUCGAUUUGUCUUUUGUGUGCGAUGAGUCAUCAAGGUCGAAGAAUUGAAACAUAAUUUCUAGAGAACCAAAUGUAUAAGUUUAUACUUUGUAAGUUAGUACAAUUCACCACCUCCUUAUAUAUUCUCCCUCUUGACUUUCUUUUGGCCUCGGAGUCUCGGCUCAUCCUCGUCAUUUAUGCAACACUGCAGCGCACUGCAGUCUGCUGCGAACUGACCUUAUCAGAG
Molecule: long non-coding RNA, 1724 nt
Organism: Gasterosteus aculeatus aculeatus (three-spined stickleback)
Lineage: Eukaryota; Metazoa; Chordata; Actinopteri; Perciformes; Gasterosteidae
Source: Ensembl